CCUACGGGUGGCAGCAGUGGGGAAUAUUGGACAAUGGGCGAAAGCCUGAUCCAGCCAUGCCGCGUGUGUGAAGAAGGCCUUCGGGUUGUAAAGCACUUUCAGUGGGGAAGAAAGCCUUGGGGCUAAUACCCUCGAGGAAGGACAUCACCCACAGAAGAAGCACCGGCUAACUCCGUGCCAGCAGCCGCGGUAAUACGGAGGGUGCGAGCGUUAAUCGGAAUUACUGGGCGUAAAGCGCGCGUAGGCGGUCUGAUAAGCCGGUUGUGAAAGCCCCGGGCUCAACCUGGGAGCGGCAUCCAGAACUGUCAGGCUAGAGUGCAGGAGAGGAAGGUAGAAUUCCCGGUGUAGCGGUGAAAUGCGUAGAGAUCGGGAGGAAUACCAGUGGCGAAGGCGGCCUUCUGGACUGACACUGACGCUGAGGUGCGAAAGCGUGGGUAGCAAACAGGAUUAGAUACCCCGGUAGUC
This 465-nucleotide ribosomal RNA is filed under the name Vreelandella stevensii. RNAcentral describes it as "partial 16S ribosomal RNA". It matches the Rfam family "Bacterial small subunit ribosomal RNA", at positions 338 to 795 of the family's 1533-position model. Lineage: Bacteria; Pseudomonadati; Pseudomonadota; Gammaproteobacteria; Oceanospirillales; Halomonadaceae. The record is from RNAcentral.